This 400-nucleotide unclassified non-coding RNA is filed under the name soil metagenome. Its description in RNAcentral is "partial contains 5.8S ribosomal RNA, internal transcribed spacer 2, and large subunit ribosomal RNA". The stretch from base 1 to 122 matches the Rfam family "5.8S ribosomal RNA", at positions 35 to 154 of the family's 154-position model. The record is from RNAcentral.
GAUGAAGAACGUAGCAAAAUGCGAUACCUGGUGUGAAUUGCAGAAUCCCGCGAACCAUCGAGUUUUUGAACGCAAGUUGCGCCCGAGGCCUUCUGGUUGAGGGCACGCCUGCCUGGGCGUCACGCCAAAAGACACUCCCAACCCAAACCUGGGGAAGGACGUGGUGUUUGGCUCCCCGUGCUGCAAGGCGCGGUGGGCCGAAGUUUGGGCUGCCGGCAUAACUUGUCGGGCACCGCACGUGGUGGGCGACAUCUAGUUGUUCUCGGUGCAGUGUCCUGGCAUGCAGCUGGCUUAUUGGCCUCAAGGACCCAUACACGACCGAAGCGUUUAGGCGCUCGGACCGCGACCCCAGGUCAGACGGGACUACCCGCUGAGUUUAAGCAUAUCAAUAAGCGGAGGA